Non-coding RNA from Mycena rebaudengoi, 93 nucleotides. The record is from the annotation of a GenBank genome assembly. Lineage: Eukaryota; Fungi; Basidiomycota; Agaricomycetes; Agaricales; Mycenaceae.
GACCCAUUAGCGCAGAAGGCAGCGCGCCGACUCAAUAUGGAGUUCCUGUGGUAUUUUAUGUGGGAGGCCCCAGUUCGAAUCUGGGAUGGGUCA